GCACAAGCGGUGGAUGAUGUGGAUUAAUUCGAUGCAACGCGAAAACCUUACCUACCCUUGACAUGUCCGGAAUCCCGAAGAGAUUUGGGAGUGCUCGCAAGAGAACCGGAACACAGGUGCUGCAUGGCUGUCGUCAGCUCGUGUCGUGAGAUGUUGGGUUAAGUCCCGCAACGAGCGCAACCCUUGUCAUUAGUUGCCAUCAUUUGGUUGGGCACUCUAAUGAGACUGCCGGUGACAAACCGGAGGAAGGUGGGGAUGACGUCAAGUCCUCAUGGCCCUUAUGGGUAGGGCUUCACACGUCAUACAAUGGUCGGUACAGGGGGUUGCCAACCCGCGAGGGGGAGCUAAUCCCACAAAGCCGAUCGUAGUCCGGAUCGCAGUCUGCAACUCGACUGCGUGAAGUCGGAAUCGCUAGUAAUCGUGGAUCAGCAUGUCACGGUGAAUACGUUCCCGGGUCUU
This 459-nucleotide ribosomal RNA is filed under the name uncultured Rhodocyclaceae bacterium. RNAcentral describes it as "bacterial SSU rRNA". It matches the Rfam family "Bacterial small subunit ribosomal RNA", at positions 923 to 1382 of the family's 1533-position model. The record is from RNAcentral. Lineage: Bacteria; Pseudomonadati; Pseudomonadota; Betaproteobacteria; Rhodocyclales; Rhodocyclaceae.